UACGUAGGGUGCGAGCGUUAAUCGGACUUACUGGGCGUAAAGCGUGCGCAGGCGGUUAUGUAAGACAGGUGUGAAAUCCCCGGGCUUAACCUGGGAACUGCAUUUGUGACUGCAUCGCUGGAGUGCGGCAGAGGGGGAUGGAAUUCCGCGUGUAGCAGUGAAAUGCGUAGAUAUGCGGAGGAACACCGAUGGCGAAGGCAAUCCCCUGGGCCUGCACUGACGCUCAUGCACGAAAGCGUGGGGAGCAAACAGG
RNAcentral lists this ribosomal RNA (253 nucleotides) under uncultured bacterium. RNAcentral's name for it is "partial 16S ribosomal RNA". It matches the Rfam family "Bacterial small subunit ribosomal RNA", at positions 524 to 776 of the family's 1533-position model. The record is from RNAcentral.